GACAGAGGUGCCGAGCGUUAGGCGGAAUCACUGGGCUUAAAGCGUGUGUAGGCGGACUUCUAAGUACCUUGUGAAAUCCCACGGCUCAACCGUGGAACUGCUUGGUAUACUGGUUGUCUUGAGCCACUUAGGGGCAGUCGGAACAGACGGUGGAGCGGUGAAAUGCGUAGAUAUCGCUUGGAACGCCGAAGGUGAAAACAGGCUGCUGGGGUCGCGCCGACGCUGAGACACGAAAGCCAGGGGAGCAAACGGGG
Molecule: ribosomal RNA, 254 nt
Filed under: uncultured bacterium
Lineage: Bacteria
Description: partial 16S ribosomal RNA
Rfam family: Bacterial small subunit ribosomal RNA
Source: RNAcentral